RNAcentral lists this unclassified non-coding RNA (433 nucleotides) under soil metagenome. RNAcentral describes it as "partial contains 5.8S ribosomal RNA, internal transcribed spacer 2, and large subunit ribosomal RNA". The stretch from base 1 to 120 matches the Rfam family "5.8S ribosomal RNA", at positions 35 to 154 of the family's 154-position model. The record is from RNAcentral.
GACGAAGAACGCAGCGAAAUGCGAUACGUAAUGUGAAUUGCAGAAUUCAGUGAAUCAUCGAAUCUUUGAACGCAUAUUGCGCUCUCUGGUAUUCCGGAGAGCAUGCUUGUUUGAGUAUCAGUAAACACCUCAACUUCCAUAUCUUUUUUGAAAUGGGAGUUGGACUUGAGUGAUCCCAACGCUUUUCCUCACCGAAAAGUGGCGGGUUACUUGAAAUGCAGGUGCAGCUGGACUUUUCUCUGAGCUAUAAGCAUAUCUAUUUAGUCUGCCUAAAAAACAGAUUAUUACCUUUGCUGCAGCUAACAUAAAGGAGAUUAGUUCUUGUGCUGACUGAUGCAGGAUUCACAAAGACAGGCUUCGGCCGACUUUGUAAACUCGAUCUCAAAUCAAGUAAGACUACCCGCUGAACUUAAGCAUAUCAAUAAGCGGAGGA